Molecule: unclassified non-coding RNA, 200 nt
Filed under: Umbelopsis sp.
Lineage: Eukaryota; Fungi; Mucoromycota; Umbelopsidomycetes; Umbelopsidales; Umbelopsidaceae
Description: partial internal transcribed spacer 2
Source: RNAcentral
UUAAGUUCAACGGGUAGCCCUACCUGAUUUCAGAUCAAAGUUUGAAUGAGUUUUCUGUAUUAUCAAGACUGAUUUCCAGAAGCAAAUGUAGCCAAAGAUUUGACAAAAGUCAAAACUAUUAGGCCAAACUGCUGUAGUAGGAAACAGCCAAGAACUACAUUUUAGGAGUGCCGACUAUUGAAAUCGGCGCAUCCCAAUUC